UACGUAGGGUGCGAGCGUUGUCCGGAAUUACUGGGCGUAAAGAGCUCGUAGGUGGUUUGUCGCGUUGUCCGUGAAAACUCACAACUCAAUUGUGGGCGUGCGGGCGAUACGGGCAGACUGGAGUACUGCAGGGGAGACUGGAAUUCCUGGUGUAGCGGUGGAAUGCGUAGAUAUCGAGAGGAACACCUGCGGCGAAGGCGGGUUGCUGGGCUGAUACUGACGCUGAGGCGCGAAAGCCAGGGGAGCGAACGGG
RNAcentral lists this ribosomal RNA (253 nucleotides) under uncultured bacterium. Its description in RNAcentral is "partial 16S ribosomal RNA". It matches the Rfam family "Bacterial small subunit ribosomal RNA", at positions 524 to 776 of the family's 1533-position model. The record is from RNAcentral.